GAUGAACGCUGGCGGCGUGCCUAAUACAUGCAAGUCGAGCGAACGGACGAGAAGCUUGCUUUUCUGAUGUUAGCGGCGGACGGGUGAGUAACACGUGGAUAACCUACCUAUAAGACUGGGAUAACUUCGGGAAACCGGAGCUAAUACCGGAUAAUAUUUUGAACCGCAUGGUUCAAAAGUGAAAGACGGUCUUGCUGUCACUUAUAGAUGGAUCCGCGCUGCAUUAGCUAGUUGGUAAGGUAACGGCUUACCAAGGCAACGAUGCAUAGCCGACCUGAGAGGGUGAUCGGCCAAACUGGAACUGAGAAACGGUCCAGACUCCUACGGGAGGCAGCAGUAGGGAAUCUUCCGAAAUGGGCGAAAGCCUGACGGAGCAACGCCGCGUGAGUGAUGAAGGUCUUCGGAUCGUAAAACUCUGUUAUUAGGGAAGAACAUAUGUGUAAGUAACUGUGCACAUAUUGACGGUACCUAAUCAGAAAGCCACGGCUAACUACGUG
This 497-nucleotide ribosomal RNA is filed under the name uncultured bacterium. RNAcentral describes it as "partial 16S ribosomal RNA". It matches the Rfam family "Bacterial small subunit ribosomal RNA", at positions 28 to 507 of the family's 1533-position model. The record is from RNAcentral.